UCAGCUCCCAGACAAACCGAACUUUGAGA
RNAcentral lists this non-coding RNA (29 nucleotides) under Mus musculus (house mouse). The record is from RNAcentral. Lineage: Eukaryota; Metazoa; Chordata; Mammalia; Rodentia; Muridae.